RNAcentral lists this long non-coding RNA (454 nucleotides) under Lathyrus oleraceus (garden pea). Its description in RNAcentral is "Pisum sativum (pea) long non-coding RNA (PSAT_LNC009399)". Lineage: Eukaryota; Viridiplantae; Streptophyta; Magnoliopsida; Fabales; Fabaceae. The record is from RNAcentral.
ACGGCGGGUGCUCCGGUGAGGUCGGAAUACAAAGGUUACAAGUUGGAGAAUAUUGUGGCGAAUAAGGGGAAGGUGGAGGAGAAGAAGAAACCGUUCUUGUUUGACCUUAACUUACAGCGGGUGCUCCGGUGAGGUCGGAAUACAAAGGUUACAAGUUGGAGAAUAUUGUGGCGAAUAAGGGGAAGGUGGAGGAGAAGAAGAAACCGUUCUUGUUUGACCUUAACUUACCGGCACCGCUUGUUUGAACUUGCCGGCGGUUUGGAUUGGACGGUGUAGAGGACAGACAUAACAGUGGUUCAAUUGUUUGUUUUGUUUUUAAUUAACCUUUUUGCAUGUUGUGGAUUUUGGUUUGAUUCUACUCUACUAUGUUGAUGUACAGUUUAAUGAAUAGGUUUUAGGUUUUGAAUCCUGUUUUAAUUAAUUAUUCACAAAUGGUAGUAGCAUUAAACAUCUG